This 422-nucleotide ribosomal RNA is filed under the name uncultured prokaryote. RNAcentral's name for it is "bacterial SSU rRNA". It matches the Rfam family "Bacterial small subunit ribosomal RNA", at positions 355 to 774 of the family's 1533-position model. The record is from RNAcentral.
UGAGGAAUAUUGGUCAAUGGGCGAGAGCCUGAACCAGCCAUCCCGCGUGCAGGAAGACGGCCCUAUGGGUUGUAAACUGCUUUUGUGCAGGAAGAAUGUACUCAUCGUGAUGGGUAUUGACGGUACUGCAUGAAUAAGCACCGGCUAACUCCGUGCCAGCAGCCGCGGUAAUACGGAGGGUGCAAGCGUUAUCCGGAUUUAUUGGGUUUAAAGGGUGCGUAGGCGGACUAUUAAGUCAGUGGUGAAAUCCUGCAGCUUAACUGCAGAACUGCCAUUGAUACUGAUAGCCUUGAGUUUGGUUAAGGUAGGCGGAAUGUGUAAUGUAGCUGUGAAAUGCUUAGAUAUUACACAGAACACCAAUUGCGUAGGCAGCUUACUGAGCCGACACUGACGCUGAGGCACGAAAGCGUGGGGAUCGAACA